This 290-nucleotide ribosomal RNA is filed under the name uncultured bacterium. RNAcentral describes it as "partial 16S ribosomal RNA". It matches the Rfam family "Bacterial small subunit ribosomal RNA", at positions 506 to 796 of the family's 1533-position model. The record is from RNAcentral.
UGCCAGCAGCCGCGGUAAUACGUAGGUCCCGAGCGUUGUCCGGAUUUAUUGGGCGUAAAGCGAGCGCAGGCGGUUAGAUAAGUCUGAAGUUAAAGGCUGUGGCUUAACCAUAGUACGCUUUGGAAACUGUUUAACUUGAGUGCAAGAGGGGAGAGUGGAAUUCCAUGUGUAGCGGUGAAAUGCGUAGAUAUAUGGAGGAACACCGGUGGCGAAAGCGGCUCUCUGGCUUGUAACUGACGCUGAGGCUCGAAAGCGUGGGGAGCAAACAGGAUUAGAUACCCUGGUAGUCC